GACGAACGCUGGCGGCGUGCCUAAUACAUGCAAGUUGAGCGAUGAAGAUUGGUGCUUGCACCAAUUUGAAGAGCAGCGAACGGGUGAGUAACGCGUGGGGAAUCUGCCUUUGAGCGGGGGACAACAUUUGGAAACGAAUGCUAAUACCGCAUAACAACUUUAAACAUAAGUUUUAAGUUUGAAAGAUGCAAUUGCAUCACUCAAAGAUGAUCCCGCGUUGUAUUAGCUAGUUGGUGAGGUAAAGGCUCAACAAGGCGAUGAUACAUAGCCGACCUGAGAGGGUGAUCGGCCACAUUGGGACUGAGACACGGCCCAAACUCCUACGGGAGGCAGCAGUAGGGAAUCUUCGGCAAUGGACGAAAGUCUGACCGAGAAACGCCGCGGGAGUGAAGAAGGUUUUCGGAUCGGAAAACUCGGUUGGUAGAGAAGAACGUUGGUGAGAGUGGAAAGCUCAUCAAGUGACGGUAACUACCCAGAAAGGGACGGCUAACUACGUG
This 497-nucleotide ribosomal RNA is filed under the name uncultured bacterium. RNAcentral describes it as "partial 16S ribosomal RNA". It matches the Rfam family "Bacterial small subunit ribosomal RNA", at positions 28 to 507 of the family's 1533-position model. The record is from RNAcentral.